AUUCGAUUGGGAAUUUUCCGCAAUGGGCGAAAGCCUGACGGAGCAAUACCGCGUGAGGGACGAAGGCCUGUGGGUUGUAAACCUCUUUUCUCAGGGAAGAAGAUCUGACGGUACCUGAGGAAUCAGCAUCGGCUAACUCCGUGCCAGCAGCCGCGGUAAGACGGAGGAUGCAAGCGUUAUCCGGAAUUAUUGGGCGUAAAGCGUCCGCAGGCGGUCUCGUAAGUCUGUCUUUAAAGCGUGGAGCUUAACUCCAUAAAGGGGAUGGAAACUGCGAGACUAGAGGUAGGUAGGGGUAGAAGGAAUUCCCAGUGUAGCGGUGAAAUGCGUAGAUAUUGGGAAGAACACCAGCAGCGAAGGCGUUCUACUGGACCAAACCUGACGCUCAUGGACGAAAGCUAGGGGAGCGAAAGGGAUUAGAUACCCCAGUAGUCA
RNAcentral lists this ribosomal RNA (432 nucleotides) under uncultured cyanobacterium. RNAcentral's name for it is "bacterial SSU rRNA". It matches the Rfam family "Bacterial small subunit ribosomal RNA", at positions 349 to 796 of the family's 1533-position model. The record is from RNAcentral. Lineage: Bacteria; Bacillati; Cyanobacteriota.